RNAcentral lists this long non-coding RNA (530 nucleotides) under Elaeis guineensis (African oil palm). RNAcentral describes it as "long non-coding RNA (EGUI_LNC063237)". The record is from RNAcentral. Lineage: Eukaryota; Viridiplantae; Streptophyta; Magnoliopsida; Arecales; Arecaceae.
CCUGCUCCACUUCCUGUGGCGGACUCCGCACAGCUCCACUAUACCCUGGCAGGCCACAGUAACGGCCACGAACCUGCUCCACCUCCUGCGAUGGAUACCACGCGAUUCUCCUGUCCGCUAACAACGGACGCUGCUCCACCCCUCACAACAGAUUCCACAUGGCGGGUCGAGGUGAUGGCCACGUGUCCGCUCCAUUAUCUUUCGCAAUCAAUUCCCCUGAACAGGGGCGGCCCACUACCAGGUGGUUACAAACGUCGCCAUCAAUCCGCUGCCUCCUCCGUCUAUAAAAGGGGGAUCCAGAUACGUUAUUCUCUAAGCUCAUUCUUCCUUAUCUCAAAACUCUGCUAAAUUCUCCGUUCGAGCACUCCAUUCUUGUUGAGGCAGAAAACUGACUUGAGCGUCGGAGGGUCUUGCCGGAGCAACCCCACCUCCGGUUUAGACUUCCCUUGCAGGUCCCGGCGGCGACCGCGGCUUCCCCGACUCCAGCUUCUCCGGCGCAAGUGAAUUUUUGCACCAACAGGAUUGGCGCU